AGCCUUUUUCAAAAUGUGGCGGUGGCAGGGAAGGUUGUCUGCUCCAGAGGCUUCCCUAGAGUGAAGAGCUCUACUAUGUAUGCUUUAUGCGGCAGAAGGAGUGCUUUGGAGGAGUUUUUAAAUUUGUUUUUUUUUUAAAUCUUAUCGGUUUUAAUUGUAGCAAUGAUUCAAGAAACGUUAGUAGGUGCCCAUAACUUCGGUGGUGGAGAUCCAAAAGUGAACAAGACAGUGUUCUGGCUGCUAAAUUCUUCUUAACUGGUUAUGCCUGGAGACCUUCACUUGGUUCUGUGCCAGCACUGCCCAUGAACUUCAUAGACUGUGAUCUUUGCUAAGGCCUAAAUGAAUGAAGGUGCAGGACCGGAAGCAGAAGACAGAAAGUGGAGACCAGAUGUUUGAAGCUGGGUAAAGGCAGGGAUGGAGCAGGAACCGAGGAACAAACCUUGGAACUAGGUAAGUUUCCUGAGGCCUUCCCAGAAGUAGAAGCCUGCACAGUCCACAGAACUGUGAGUCAAUUAAACCUUUUUUCUUUAUAAAUUACCCAGUCUUAGGUAGUUCUUUAUAACAGUA
RNAcentral lists this long non-coding RNA (567 nucleotides) under Homo sapiens (human). RNAcentral's name for it is "non-protein coding lnc-MID1-1:6". Lineage: Eukaryota; Metazoa; Chordata; Mammalia; Primates; Hominidae. The record is from RNAcentral.